Molecule: ribosomal RNA, 253 nt
Filed under: uncultured bacterium
Lineage: Bacteria
Description: partial 16S ribosomal RNA
Rfam family: Bacterial small subunit ribosomal RNA
Source: RNAcentral
UACGUAGGGUGCGAGCGUUAAUCGGAAUUACUGGGCGUAAAGCGUGCGCAGGCGGUUAUGCAAGACAGGUGUGAAAUCCCCGGGCUCAACCUGGGAACUGCAUUUGUGACUGCAAGGCUAGAGUACGGCAGAGGGGGAUGGAAUUCCGCGUGUAGCAGUGAAAUGCGUAGAUAUGCGGAGGAACACCAAUGGCGAAGGCAAUCCCCUGGACCUGUACUGACGCUCAUGCACGAAAGCGUGGGGAGCAAACAGG